CCCUUAGAUGUUCUGGGCCGCACGCGCGCUACACUGAUGCAUUCAACGAGUCUAAAACCUGCUCUGAUAGGGGUGGGUAAUCUUUUGAAUGUGCAUCGUGAUUGGGAUAGAUGAUUGCAAUUUUUCAUCUUCAACGAGGAAUGCCUAGUAGACGCAAGUCAUCAGCUUGCAUUGAUUACGUCCCUGCCCUUUGUACACACCGCCCGUCGCUCCUACCGAUUGAAUGAUCCGAUGAAUAUCAUGGAUUGAGGAUGCAAGCAGGUUCGCCUGUCUUCAUCUUCGAGAAGUGAAGUAAAUCUUAUCAUUUAGAGGAAGGAGAAGUCGUAACA
RNAcentral lists this ribosomal RNA (329 nucleotides) under uncultured eukaryote. RNAcentral describes it as "partial 18S ribosomal RNA". It matches the Rfam family "Eukaryotic small subunit ribosomal RNA", at positions 1470 to 1796 of the family's 1831-position model. The record is from RNAcentral.